RNAcentral lists this ribosomal RNA (221 nucleotides) under uncultured Actinomycetales bacterium. RNAcentral describes it as "partial 16S ribosomal RNA". It matches the Rfam family "Bacterial small subunit ribosomal RNA", at positions 109 to 334 of the family's 1533-position model. The record is from RNAcentral. Lineage: Bacteria; Bacillati; Actinomycetota; Actinomycetes; Actinomycetales.
AGUAACACGUGGGUAAUCUGCCCUGCACUCUGGGAUAAGCCUGGGAAACUGGGUCUAAUACUGGAUAUGACCUUUCUCCUUAUGGGGUUUGGUGGAAGUUUUCGGUGUAGGAUGAGCCCGCGGCCUAUCAGCUUGUUGGUGGGGUGAUGGCCUACCAAGGCGACGACGGGUAGCCGGCCUGAGAGGGUGAUCGGCCACAUUGGGACUGAGAUACGGCCCAG